This 463-nucleotide long non-coding RNA is filed under the name Lupinus angustifolius (narrow-leaved blue lupine). Its description in RNAcentral is "long non-coding RNA (LANG_LNC000682)". The record is from RNAcentral. Lineage: Eukaryota; Viridiplantae; Streptophyta; Magnoliopsida; Fabales; Fabaceae.
UUUGGUAUCACUCUACCUAAUGGAGGGACUCAAAGAAGGACAUGUUGUCCACAAGUACUCCUAAGUAAAGUAACGAUAUGCCUGAUCUGCCUACUGUUUGCCAACCUUCCAUUCACCACAAUGCUCUAGAUCGGGGAAAUCCAUCAGGUGUGUGUCCAAGACUUAGUUUUCUUCUUCCUUUUUAUAACCUUUAUCGAAAAUGUUUGCUCUAAUAUUUUGUGUCUCUAUUUCCUCUUUUAUGUUUGGAAGAUUUUCAAGAACAGGAAGUGAUGACUGGUUUUGGUACUCGACAACUGGACCUUACUACAGCCCCCAGUCUGAUGAAGUAUCUCAGAACAAGCAGCAGAGCUCCAGACAGUCCAGAGUUCCAGUUUUGGAGAAGCACCUAAUAAAUCAGCAGUAUUCAGAAGAGCAAAGUUCAAUUAGUUCAAAGUUUUAAGAUGUGACAGAAGCUGGUACAGAG